AGAGUUUGAUCCUGGCUCAGGACGAACGCUGGCGGCGUGCCUAACACAUGCAAGUCACGGGGGCUCGCAAGAGCAACCGGCGAACGGGUGCGUAACACGUGAGCAAUCUGCCGAUUUCUGGGGGAUAGCCGGCCCAACGGCCGGGUAAUACCGCAUACGCUUCUUUGGGGGAGUCCCCAGGGAAGGAAACCUCCGGGGGAAAUCGAGGAGCUCGCGGCCUAUCAGCUAGUUGGUGCGGGUAAUGGCCCACCAAGGCGACGACGGGUAGCUGGUCUGAGAGGAUGGCCAGCCACAUUGGGACUGAGAGACGGCCCAGACUCCUACGGGAGGCAGCAGUGGGGAAUCUUGCGCAAUGGCCGAAAGGCUGACGCAGCGACGCCGCGUGGGGGAUGAAGGUUUUCGGAUCGUAAACCCCUGUUGCCCGGGACGAAUCCUGGAUUUCGAUCCAGUUGACGGUACCGGGUGAGGAAGCACCGGCUAACUCCGUGCCAGCAGCCGCG
Molecule: ribosomal RNA, 500 nt
Filed under: uncultured bacterium
Lineage: Bacteria
Description: bacterial SSU rRNA
Rfam family: Bacterial small subunit ribosomal RNA
Source: RNAcentral